This 468-nucleotide ribosomal RNA is filed under the name uncultured bacterium. Its description in RNAcentral is "partial 16S ribosomal RNA". It matches the Rfam family "Bacterial small subunit ribosomal RNA", at positions 28 to 507 of the family's 1533-position model. The record is from RNAcentral.
GACGAACGCUGGCGGCGUGCUUAACACAUGCAAGUCGAACGGACAGACCCUGCUUUUGUUGGGUGCUCGAGUGGCGAACGGGUGUGUAACACGCGUGUAACCUGCACUUGUCUUUGGGAUAACUUCAGGAAACUGGGGCUCAUACCGCAUAGGAGCUCCUGCAGCACGGUGUGGGUUGGAAAGAUUCGGCGGUUGGGGAUGUACUCGCGGGUUAUCAGCUUGUUGGUGGGGUAGUGGCUGACCAAGGCUUUGACGGGUAGCCGGCCUGAGAGGGUGACCGGCCACAUUGGGACUGAGAUACGGCCCAGACUGCUACGGGAGGCAGCAGUGGGGAAUAUUGCACAAUGGGCGGAAGCCUGAUGCAGCAACGCCGCGUGCGGGAUGACGGCCUUCGGGUUGUAAACCGCUUUCGCCUGUGACGAAGCGUGAGUGACGGUAAUGGGUAAAGAAGCACCGGCUAACUACGUG